GAGGGCAUAGCUCAGUGGUAGAGCACAUGCUUAGCAUGCACCAGGUCCUGGGUUCAAUCCUCAGUACCUCG
This 71-nucleotide transfer RNA is filed under the name Camelus bactrianus (Bactrian camel). It matches the Rfam family "tRNA". Rfam says of the family: Transfer RNA (tRNA) molecules are approximately 80 nucleotides in length. The record is from Rfam by way of RNAcentral. RNAcentral also lists the same sequence under 2 other names. Lineage: Eukaryota; Metazoa; Chordata; Mammalia; Artiodactyla; Camelidae.